CCUACGGGAGGCUGCAGUGGGGAAUAUUGGACAAUGGGGGGAACCCUGAUCCAGCCAUGCCGCGUGUGUGAAGAAGGCCCUCGGGUUGUAAAGCACUUUCAGUGAGGAAGAACGCCUGGUGGUUAAUACCCAUCAGGAAAGACAUCACUCACAGAAGAAGCACCGGCUAACUCCGUGCCAGCAGCCGCGGUAAUACGGAGGGUGCGAGCGUUAAUCGGAAUUACUGGGCGUAAAGCGCGCGUAGGUGGCUUGAUAAGCCGGUUGUGAAAGCCCCGGGCUCAACCUGGGAACGGCAUCCGGAACUGUCAAGCUAGAGUGCAGGAGAGGAAGGUAGAAUUCCCGGUGUAGCGGUGAAAUGUGUAGAGAUCGGGAGGAAUACCAGUGGCGAAGGCGGCCUUCUGGACUGACACUGACACUGAGGUGCGAAAGCGUGGGUAGCAAACAGGAUUAGAUACCCUGGUAGUC
RNAcentral lists this ribosomal RNA (465 nucleotides) under Vreelandella stevensii. Its description in RNAcentral is "partial 16S ribosomal RNA". It matches the Rfam family "Bacterial small subunit ribosomal RNA", at positions 338 to 795 of the family's 1533-position model. The record is from RNAcentral. Lineage: Bacteria; Pseudomonadati; Pseudomonadota; Gammaproteobacteria; Oceanospirillales; Halomonadaceae.